AUGGCAAAAUAAUGCCUGCAGUUUUCUUCCACUAAUCUGAUGAAGAUAAUGUUGAAAGGUAAUUUUCUCGGUGUUAAGUGUCCUGUUACCGCUAUUGAACACAAAUUUCUGUUGGUAAGUCAUAAAUAAAAAAACCUAUCAAAGUAAGAUGAAUAGCAGUGGACUGUUUUUGCUAUUGAACCCAACCUUCUACCAGUAAGUUUACUCAUGAACAAGGUAAUCUAUGAAAGGUUGAUGAAUUGCAUGCAGGUACGUAUGCAGCCAAUAAUUUAUUUUUUUGUUAACAUAGUAAGAAUCAUCACCUCAUAAGAUCUAUAAUUAUUUUUCACACUGUUACAGCUGGUGCUGUGUGAUAUUCUAAUUUAUAACAAAGGCCUUUCAAUUUGUAAUCUUAUCACUAUUACAGAGAUUGGGAUGUAAAUGAAUGUUGAUUUAAAAUGGCUUUGGCUCUAUUCCCAAUCUAGUGUAUUAGUCACCAUUCAUUUUUUGUAGGAGGUUAUCUAUUCUGCGUUGGUACUGUGCUUUCAUUAACUGCAUGACAUCUUGAUAAUGUCUUGGUGGGUUGGCUGUUUGAGUUUGAUUGAUAUUAGAAUCAUUGCUUAGGAAGCAUUUCAAUCUGUCUUAUGACCAAGUCUUGGUAACAGUUGUAGGCCUUAUUUCUUUUAGUUCCUACAAUGUUCUUAUAUUUGGUGGAUUGAUUUGUGAAAACUGAUGUAGUCUGUUUUGCUUUGGAUUUCAGUACUGCUGGCUGUCCAUUUGGUGAGAGCUGCCAUUUUUUGCACUAUGUUCCAGGCGGCUACAAUGCUGUGGCCCAGAUGAUGAAUCUGGGGCCAGCUGUCACUCCAGUUUCUAGAAACCUGGCUGUCCCGUCGGUGGUUCCUAAUGGUUCUGCUUCAACUGCAGUUAAGAGGCGCUUGUGCAACAAAUAUAAUUCUUCUGAAGGUUGCAAGUUUGGUGACAAAUGCCAUUUUGCACAUGGUGAGUGGGAACUUGGCAAGCCCAUUGCUUCAUCGCAUGAGGAUGCUCGUGCCAUUGGAACUAUUCCAGGGCGUAUGGGUGGUCGGAUGGAACCCCCUUCACCUGGACUUGCUGCUAGUUUUGGUGCCUCAGCCACUGCAAAAAUCAGUGUGGAAGCUUCCCUUGCUGGAGCCAUCAUUGGUAAAGGUGGUGUGAAUUCCAAGCAGAUCUGUCGCCAAACAGGAGCCAAGUUAUCCAUUAGGGAACAUGAAACGGAUCCUAAUCUCAGGAACAUCGAAUUUGAGGGAUCAUUUGAACAGAUUAAGCAAGCUAGUGCCAUGGUUUCGGAGCUAAUUGCCAGUGUUAGUUCUGCAAAUGCCUCAGCAAAAACUACUGGAGUGCCCGGGGGCGGCCAUGCCCAUCCAGGAAGCAACUAUAAAACCAAGAUAUGUGAAAAUUUUAGCAAAGGAUCUUGCAGCUUUGGUCAAAGAUGCCACUUUGCUCAUGGGGCCGCUGAAUUGCGCAAGUCAGGCGUGUGAUGAGGCCAAUCAGUUUCGUAAAUGGUUCAUUGCACUUGCUGUUGUGCAAUCUUUGUAUUAAUGGGAGCUCUGGUUAAAGUGCUGGCUGUGCAAUGCUACCAAGUGACAGUGAUGAAACUGUGAUAACUUAGUUUUUGGGCUUAUUUUUUAUUUUAUUAGAUCCAUCAUAGCUCUAGUGACCCUUUUCUUCAUUCCUUCCGAAUUUAUUAGUGUUGUGCUUUGUCAGUUUGUUUAUGUUAGACACGGUUUUGUGUGCCUUGAGAAGAUAUUGUCCAAGUCGCAAGAAUCAUGCAAUUAGAACUUUUCUUGAUUGCAUAACACUCAUUGGAUGCAGCUUUUUUGAGUGAUCUCUUGGAUAUUAGCCAUGGAGAACCUGCAAACGAUAAACAGAGGUUAUGGUGAGAAGAGGUUCCUCGCUGUAUGAUAGAAGUGGAGUUGAACAUAUAAGGGGACUCGAUUCUUUUGUUAGAAGCCACUCGCUUGUUUGAGCAACUGUGUCUUCGGGAGGAGACUUGGCAUGAUCAAAGUUUAGUUGGUGGUGAUUGAUAUUAGGCGAGGACAAUGUUCCUGGAGAUUCUGAAGUCGGAUGUUUUGACCAAAUCAAGAGUUUUUAGUUCUGAUACUCGGUUUUUGAAAUUUUAGAUAUAAU
This 2145-nucleotide unclassified non-coding RNA is filed under the name Hevea brasiliensis (rubber tree). Lineage: Eukaryota; Viridiplantae; Streptophyta; Magnoliopsida; Malpighiales; Euphorbiaceae. The record is from RNAcentral.